AUUGAACGCUGGCGGAAUGCUUUACACAUGCAAGUCGAACGGCAGCACGGACUUCGGUCUGGCGGCGAGUGGCGAACGGGUGAGUAAUGUAUCGGAACGUGCCCAGUCGUGGGGGAUAACGUAGUGAAAAUUACGCUAAUACCGCAUACGAUCUAUGGAUGAAAGCGGGGGAUCGCAAGACCUCGCGCGAUUGGAGCGGCCGAUAUCAGAUUAGGUAGUUGGUGGGGUAAAGGCCCACCAAGCCAACGAUCUGUAGCUGGUCUGAGAGGACGACCAGCCACACUGGAACUGAGACACGGUCCAGACUCCUACGGGAGGCAGCAGUGGGGAAUUUUGGACAAUGGGCGAAAGCCUGAUCCAGCCAUUCCGCGUGCAGGAUGAAGGCCCUCGGGUUGUAAACUGCGUUGUACAGAACGAAAAGGUUUCUACUAAUACUAGGAGCUCAUGACGGUACUGUAAGAAUAAGCACCGGCUAACUACGUGCCAGCCGCCGCUGUAA
RNAcentral lists this ribosomal RNA (499 nucleotides) under uncultured bacterium. RNAcentral describes it as "partial 16S ribosomal RNA". It matches the Rfam family "Bacterial small subunit ribosomal RNA", at positions 30 to 523 of the family's 1533-position model. The record is from RNAcentral.